GAUGAACGCUAGCGGCAGGCCUAACACAUGCAAGUCGAGGGAGAAGCCCUUUCGGGGGCAGAAACCGGCGCACGGGUGCGUAACGCGUAUGUAACCUACCUUUCACAGGGGGAUAGCCCGAAGAAAUUUGGAUUAAUACUCCCUCAUAUUGUUGGAUGGCAUCAUUUGGCAAUCAUAACUGCGCUGGUGAACGAUGGGCAUGCGUCCUAUUAGCUAGUUGGAGUGGUAACGGCACCCCAAGGCUACGAUAGGUAGGGUUCUUGAGAGGGAGAUCCCCCACACUGGUACUGAGACAGGGACCAGACUCCUACGGGAGGCAGCAGAGUGGUAUAUUGGGCAAUGGUCGGAAGACUGAACCAGCCAUGCCUCGUGCAGGAAGAAUGCCUUAUGGGUUGUAAACUGCUUUUAUAGGGGAAGAAUAAGGCGUACGUGUACGUUGAUGACGGUACCAUAUGAAUAAGCAUCGGCUAACUCCGUG
Molecule: ribosomal RNA, 478 nt
Filed under: uncultured bacterium
Lineage: Bacteria
Description: partial 16S ribosomal RNA
Rfam family: Bacterial small subunit ribosomal RNA
Source: RNAcentral